RNAcentral lists this ribosomal RNA (396 nucleotides) under uncultured bacterium. RNAcentral's name for it is "partial 16S ribosomal RNA". It matches the Rfam family "Bacterial small subunit ribosomal RNA", at positions 523 to 918 of the family's 1533-position model. The record is from RNAcentral.
AUACGGAGGGUGCAAGCGUUAAUCGGAAUUACUGGGCGUAAAGCGCACGCAGGCGGUUUGUUAAGUCAGAUGUGAAAUCCCCGGGCUCAACCUGGGAACUGCAUCUGAUACUGGCAAGCUUGAGUCUCGUCGAGGGGGGUAGAAUUCCAGGUGUAGCGGUGAAAUGCGUAGAGAUCUGGAGGAAUACCGGUGGCGAAGGCGGCCCCCUGGACGAAGACUGACGCUCAGGUGCGAAAGCGUGGGGAGCAAACAGGAUUAGAUACCCUGGUAGUCCACGCCGUAAACGAUGUCGACUUGGAGGUUAUGCCCUUGAGGCGUGGCUUCCGGAGCUAACGCGUUAAGUCGACCGCCUGGGGAGUACGGCCGCAAGGUUAAAACUCAAAUGAAUUGACGGGG